UCACUUAACUGGACGGGGUCAAUUGGCGAUUAAUAAGUUCAUGGCCUAAUGGAUGACCUCUUUGAAAGGUCCUUACCCAAGGUCGAUCCAAGUCGUCGAGCUUACGUCAGAAUUUAUGGUGGCGGGAGCUUGGUUUAUGCAGCUCCUA
Molecule: small nuclear RNA, 148 nt
Filed under: Nicotiana attenuata
Lineage: Eukaryota; Viridiplantae; Streptophyta; Magnoliopsida; Solanales; Solanaceae
Description: snRNA U1
Rfam family: U1 spliceosomal RNA
About the family: U1 is a small nuclear RNA (snRNA) component of the spliceosome (involved in pre-mRNA splicing). Its 5' end forms complementary base pairs with the 5' splice junction, thus defining the 5' donor site of an intron.
Source: RNAcentral